Molecule: long non-coding RNA, 316 nt
Organism: Toxorhynchites rutilus septentrionalis
Lineage: Eukaryota; Metazoa; Arthropoda; Insecta; Diptera; Culicidae
Exons: 3
Source: RefSeq, a predicted model, not a curated record
GUUUGUUUACAAUCUCAAACAAAAGCGAAUUCAUUUAUUCCUUUGAAUUUUUUGUAAUCGGUGAUAAUAGUUCGGAGUGAUUGAACUGCAACUAAAAAGAUUUGCAUUGUAAUAAAGGAUCGGACCAAAGAGAAGUCGGAACGAAUUGCAGCCUGGUCAUCAUCUGGCCCUACAGACUCCCACGGACUUCCAGCGUACUCUCCCUUCUCUGCUCAACUCGGUGAACUCCGGGCCGUUUCAGGUAUUUUAGGACCUACACUUCACAAGGAUUGCUCGUAGUUUUAAUUGUUGUUAGAGACAAUCUGUGGAUACCAAC